RNAcentral lists this ribosomal RNA (246 nucleotides) under archaeon. RNAcentral's name for it is "partial 23S ribosomal RNA". It matches the Rfam family "Archaeal large subunit ribosomal RNA", at positions 2678 to 2931 of the family's 2987-position model. The record is from RNAcentral.
GUUAAGAACGUCGUGAGACAGUUUGUAUGAUAUCUACUAGAUGUGUUAUUACCUGAGUGGAAGGACCCUCCAGUACGAGAGGAACGUGGGUUCGCAGCCUCUGGUCUACCAGUUGUUAUGAGCAGGCUGGGCAGCUACGCUGUAGACUGAUAAGUGCUGAAAGCAUCUAAGCACGAAGCAGUCCGCAAAACGAGGUAAUUUAGGCCGCAGUAAAAGACUGCGUUGAUAGAAACGGUGUGUAAGCAU